Molecule: ribosomal RNA, 254 nt
Filed under: uncultured bacterium
Lineage: Bacteria
Description: partial 16S ribosomal RNA
Rfam family: Bacterial small subunit ribosomal RNA
Source: RNAcentral
GACAGAGGGUGCAAACGUUGCUCGGAAUUACUGGGCGUAAAGCGCGUGUAGGCGGUUCCGCAAGUCAGGUGUGAAAGCCCAGGGCUCAACCCUGGAAGUGCACUUGAUACUACGGAGCUUGAGUACUGAAGAGGAGAGCGGAAUUCCCGGUGUAGAGGUGAAAUUCGUAGAUAUCGGGAGGAACACCAGUGGCGAAGGCAGCCAUCUGGACCGACACUGACGCUGAGGCGCGAAAGCGUGGGGAGCAAACAGGG